UACGGAGGUGGCUAGCGUUACUCGGAUUUACUGGGUGUAAAGGGUAUGUAGGCGGGCUUGUAAGUCAGGCGUGAAAUCCCUUGGCUCAACCAAGGAAUGGCGCUUGAUACUGCUUGUCUUGAGUGCGGGAGAGGAGAACGGAAUUCCCGGUGUAAGGGUGAAAUCUGUAGAGAUCGGGAGGAACACCAGUGGCGAAAGCGGUUCUCUGGUCCGUAACUGACGCUGAAAUACGAAAGCUUGGGGAGCAAAC
Molecule: ribosomal RNA, 250 nt
Filed under: uncultured bacterium
Lineage: Bacteria
Description: partial 16S ribosomal RNA
Rfam family: Bacterial small subunit ribosomal RNA
Source: RNAcentral